GAAGAUGAUGGUAGCUUAACCGCAAAGCUGGAAUUAUGCCACACUGCUCUUCUGGUAAGUUCCAUAUCUCACUCUCAUAUAUUCUUUCCCAUUUUCCAUGAUAUUUAACCGUGCGAAGCAAGCUUCCAAUGGCUUUUGCAGCCAAAGGUAAGCCAUUGCACCUUCUAACAAUUUUCUCUCCAAUUUCUUUAAACUGGAGAUGUCCAUUAAAAUUUCUGGCUUUUAAUGCAUGCUGUGUACAUAUGGAUAAACAAUCAUCAUCCGAUAAUUUAUCCAAAUGAAAAGCUUUGAGCGGAUCCACAAUAGAUGAAACAAUUUGAAGACGAGUGGUUACAAUGAUACUGGUCCCUGGUCCAAACGGAGACCGUAAGAUGGUCCAAUCAUUAUAACUCUCGUUCCAAAUGUCAUCUAAAACAAGCAAGAAUCUUUUCCCACACAACUUCUCCUUCAACUUAACUUGAAGUAAAUUCAAGUCAUCCUCGUCACGAGAGUCAGGAUCGAUGGAUUUUAAAAUUGUCCUGGUUAUAUUAACUGCGUCAAAAUGAUCAGAAACGCAUACCCAGGCCUUGUGGUGAAAAGACUGGUUGAUGGUGGCAUCAUUGUAAACAAGCUGAGCAAGAGUUGUUUUACCCAUCCCUCCCAUGCCGACGAUGGAAAGGACUGAAACUCCGUUGGAGUUAUCACCUUUGAGAAACUCAAUCAUUUCUGUCUUCUCCUUGUGUCUGCCAACAUAAUCCACAACUCCAUCCAGUACGGAAGUUGGUUGCAGCCUAGGUUGCUUUCCCUUGGAGGUUGGAGCUUGAGACAAGAUCUCACUCAACCCCAAACUACUUCUUCGAGUAGUCAAACUAUUCAGUCUAGCAGUGAUCUCUUUCACCUUUGGAAUCAUGGAAUUCUGAAACAGGAAAGAAGUGGGAGGGAAAAUACUACGAAUAAUCCUUUCAGGAAUGAAUUUCCGUAUCUUACUAGGUCUGGCUUGAGCUUGAGUGUCUUGGAGAUUGAGGCGUAACUUUUCAUAAGCGAACUCGUCCAAGAUGUCAUCCACAUCGUAUGCCAAGUCCUGGAGAUCCUCCAACCAUUUCUUCACAGCCAUGUUCUUGAUCUGCUUCCCCUCUGCAUCGUCCAACACUGCUUGGAUAUCAGGCAAUAUGGACUGCCACUGCUUGAGCUGCUGGUGGAGUUGGUAGUGAUCAGCAACAAAGUUGAGUGCAGAGUCAAGCGAUUUGCCCACCAACAGGUCCAGGAACCCAGAAAGAGCAGCCUCUCCAAUGACAGACAUGGUGGAAUUGUGAGAAAUAAGGUGACAAGAGAAAUGAGCAAAGCCAAAAUGGAAAGUCAGGGAACAAAAAAGAAAUGAGUUGGAAGUCUUUUGGUGUUAAUGGGGAAGGAAAAAUGGAAAUGAUGGGACCUUUGCUUUUGAAUUUUGAUGCUCUUCUUUUCUCUUGCUUUUGGUCAUUUUCCUAAAUUGACCUUCACCGUAUAUGUAAUUUAAUUAAACAUCAAAAUAUUAUAUUUCUCACAACUUUAUCGCCAAAAUAUAGCAAACACCAAUACUCAAAAUUUUUGAAUCCCAAAUAUUUACAGUAUUUAGCAUAUAGAAAACAAAAUUCCGAAAUUAAAUAAUAAUUUUUAUGAUUUUACCAUUUUAAUAGUUUAUAUCUUUAUAAAAUUUAAAAGAUUAAAUCAGAUUUUUAUCAUAUUUAGGGGAGUAAAGUGUAAUUUUAUAUUUACUAAUUUAAAAUUUUAAAAUAUUCAAAGAGCUUAAAUGAAAAAAUUUUUAUUUUAGAGGACCAUGCCAACCCCCUAGCUACACCCGAGAUUGAUUGUAGCUAUAUUGUUAAUUGAUUUACUAUUUUACUAUUUAUACUAUUAUUUAAGCUUAUGACUAGUUGAUGUCACGAGUUAAUAAAGUACCAACUUGGUUAAAGAAAAUAUGAAAAUGUCACUCUAGUCUUUUUAUUAAAAAUAAAAAUAAAAAUAUGUGCAUAUAAUGAGAUUUUGAACCCAUAUCAAUUACAUUAAUAGAAUUAUUAAUUUACCACUCAACUAAAACUUUAAUAUUUUUAUACAUUUUAAUUUUAUUGUGCACACUUUAUUGUUAAUUAAUUUCAAACAUUAUGCUUUAAUUAUUUAUUGUAUGUUAUAUUCAAACGCACACUUAUAUUCUAAAUAUAUGAUUCUCAAAUAUACAUGUGUGAUAAGUAUACUAAUUGUAACCUAUCUUACUAAUUGUUGUACUAAUUUAUGAUUUGCUUUCUUACUAGCUAGAUCUGUUAGCCAAACUCAAAUUACCUUCCUUUUAGAUCAAUUAAUUGACUUAAACCUAACUCAAUUACAUUUCUUUCUAGAGUGAUUAACCAAAAUAAUCGACCGAACCGAUUAAACGAGAUUGUUUCUAUUAUUAUAUUUAUGAAAUCGUGAUCGUUUAGUUAUUGGUAUUUUUUGUUGGGGUUAGCUUAAUUUAAUUUUCAAUUUUUCUAAACUAAAAUUUACAUCUAGAUUUGAUGAUGAUUGCUUGUCCACAGUCCAUGGGUUUCAAUUAUACCAACCUAUUCAAUCUUCUUUUUUCCCUAAUGCAUGUGAGGUCUCUUUUUCUUUUCCUUAGCAAAGUAUUUAGGGUCUCUCUUUUUUUUCAAAGUAAUCUUUAUCUUUAAUAAAAUAAUUUAAAAACCCUAAUCACUUUCCCAUAAUUGAUGGAACUUACAAGUAUAAUUAACAAAAAAAAAAAUACAAUUACAAAUACUUUAUGUCUGGCCAACUAGCUAGAAUCAACUUAGUAUAUAAUACAAAAAGAUUAAAAUCUAAUCAAAUACAAACAAAUAACAUUACGAGUGAAAUAUAGGAAAGAACUCACACAUGAUAUUUACAUAUUAUGAAACUCAAAUUUGGGCACUCGAGGCCCAACUUUGCCAACACCAACAAACCUCAUUGGCUCAUAAGUAAAUAUUUUAAUGUAUAGCUAAUUCAUUACUGAAUCAGUACUCUAGAAAUUAGUUAUUCUUGAGUUGAAAGAUUAGUAUGUAUGACAAAUUUAUAUAGUUUUAGAGAAGAAGAUGGAAGAUGGCCAAAUAGAAAGGACCAUUGCAAGGAUGAUAGUGAAGUUCCAGUUCCUACUCAAUUUCUGGUAUUAAAGAUGAUAGACAAUGUGGAAGGGAAACUAUUGAACAGGUCAUAUUGAAGAAAUAGCAGGGUGAUUAUAACCAAAGUGUAUUAAGGGUGGGACCUUGGCUUUUGAAUUUUGAUGAAAUCUCUCUGCCAUUUCUGAAAUUCCAAUUUUCCUUUAAGGAAAACGAUGACGACGAUGCCAAUCUAAUUCCCAUUCAAUUAAACCCUGAUCUCGAUCACAAUGCCAUCUAAUGCCCAUAUAUCAAUUUAUUAUUUCCAUUCACUUUAAAGCCUAUUGUAGUUUUGGUUCAAUUUAAUAUUGCCAUUAAACAUCAUGAUUAAUUGACACAAUUAAUAUAGCAACCACACACAUGUCCUACUUUCUUUUUGGGUUGAAAACAUCACUGUAAAUGCAAAAGGAGAGAAGGUGAAGCCUUUCAAAUUCUCCACAUGCCAAAUGGUGCUGACAUGUCAGAUGGGCUGAUGUGGCAUACUAUGUUAGAAAAAUUAUAAAAAUAUUUUAAAAUUAAUAAAACAUAUAAAUACAUCUAGAAUGAAUUUAUCCAAAUUCAAAUGAAUUUGGACAAAAGAAUAUAGCCUUUAUACCAAAGCAAUUAGUUUUAUAUUAGAGGUAUUAGAGUUUAGGUUCUAUUUUGUUAAUCUACUCAUACAUGUUAUCUAUUAUGUUAAUUUUGUCUCAAAUUCGAAAAUAAUUGGUGCUUAAAAUGAUUCAAACCCAAGAUGACAUAAAUUUGAGAUGACCUUAUUUGAAAAACUUGAAUGGCAAACUCAAAUGGUCAUAACCCAAAAUAGCUCAAACAUGAAACAACUUAAACCCAAAAUUGACCCGAACCAUAAUGACUCUCUAUUUAUAGCAUUAACAAAAAGGAAAAAUAGUAAAUAUGCAAGGGCAAAAGAGUAAAAACCGUAGGGUUGCCCCUUCCGCGCAACAGUAAAAUAUAUAUUUUGUUGCCAAAUUUUUUGCAACCGUCAAAAAUUGAAAAAUAUUUUAAAGAAAUUAUUUUCUGGAAAAUAAUAUUGAUUAAAAUUAGAGAUAAAUUAUGGAUGAAAAUAUUGAAUUAUUUCAAAUGAUGAAGAGCAACUUUAAUAAUGUAGAGGGACUGGAUUGGUGUACCGAGGAUGAUGCUUUGAAGGCUACUCUCAGAAGAGUCGAUCUGUAGCUCAAGUGGUACCAUACACCUCAACAAUUGACCUAUAUUCAAUAGAUUAAGGGUUUGAAUCUCAUCAAGGGUGAGACUCUCAUGUCGCCUCUUAGUGGUGAUCACAAGUCCACAUACGGUUAAGGCACCCCUUUUUGUGAGUAGUACAUGGCUCUCCACGGAGUGGGGGACAAAACCCUCUCACAGGGGACAAUACCUUCUGUUGUUGAGAGACUGGAUCGGCAUCCCCAAAGACGACACUUCAAAGACUUCUCUCGAAUAAGCCGUCCCCAUUAACAAAUAAAUAAUUACUCUACACAACCGUAUUCUAUCUUUUAAAAUUAUUAUUUUGUCCCUUAAGAUAUCCAUUAAUCUUUUUAUGUAUUUCUAAUAUACAUGCUAUAUAUAUAGUAAAAUGAAUAUAUAUAUAAUCUACACUAAAUAUGAGAAGAUUAUAAAUAUAAUAAUCUAUAAUUAUUAUUUAUUUAUGCCUUUUUCCAACUACGUCGCUCUGAUUUUUUUUUUUAAUUUCUUUUUCAUUUUUUGAUCAGUCCUAUUUUAUGCAAAUUCAGAUGUGUAUAUGAAGAUAUAAAUUCAUAUAUUAUUUAUCAGUCACAUUCAAAUUCAAUUAACAUAAACUUGAAGAUUCAUUUCUAACUCAUUAGUUAUUAUUUGUAAUUUCCUCUUCAUUUUCUUUCCCAUUUUCGAUUGUGUAACACGCAUGUAUCUGGAUGAAAAAACAGCUUAGUUGAAAUGACAAAGUUAAGACUUUGAAGAUAUGAGUAUCCUAAUAAUUUAUUUUGGAUUUAAACUAUCUUUUUUAUAGAUUUUAUAUAAACACAUAAAUAAAAAGACAAAAAGCAAACUCAUAAUAUUAUUUGUACCUUUUAAAUAGAAGCCACUUUUUUUAAGUUAUUUUUUAACUAAAUUGAUCUUUAGUUAAACUUGUGACUCCAACUCAAUUAGAUAAUUAAAUAUAGUAUAAAUAACAAAAAAUGGAAUUGAAAUUGACAUACACGUAUGUUGUGUGUAGCCUUAAAUACUCCUCUUUCAUGGUGUUCACCUCAAUUCAGGGGCGGAGCUUUAAAAAAAAUCAGAGGAGGUUGAAAUAAAGUUGUAUAUUUUUACGAUGCAAAAAUGAAAUUUCCCUAUUUUAAUAACUUAUAUCUUUAUAAUUUUUAAAGGAUUAUAUCAAUUUUUUCUCAUUCUUGAGGGGGUCAAAGUAUAAUUUUGCCACAUACUAAUUUAAAAAAUUUUAAAUUAUAAAUGAACUAAAGGUGAAAUUUUCCAAUUUAGGGGGGAUCGGGCCCCCUGCCAGCCCCCUUGGCUCCACCCCUGCCUCAAUUCCUUGCAACUUCUGCUUAUUUAACAAAAAAAAAAUUAGAAAUGUAAUUAUUAUUGUCGACUGAGUCUUAACUCAGUUGGUAUCAACAAUAUUAAAAAAAAUUUUGGAACAUGCUUUUUCAUUUAAGAUAUAAAUUAAAAUAUAAUAAAAAAAACUCACUCACCUCAUUAUCAUAGAAAAAUCUUCACUCGCCUUUCAACUUUUUUUUUAUUGAAAAAACCCCUCAUCCUUCGACUUCUUUUUUACUUCUUAAUUUUGAAUUUAUUGAAUGAUGAAUUUUUAUUUGUGAAGUUUAUUAAUCAAUAUUUUAUAUAAUUGAUAAAUAUUUUUAUAUUUAAAUUUUAUUUAUAUAUUAAAUAUUUUAAAAAUAUCGAUAACUUCGAAAUAGUACAUGAAAUAAACUAGUACUAAUACGUACCGAUUUUCAUAGAAAAGUGGUGCAUCCACCAAUGUGGUAAUGGCUACCUUGAAAGCAACUAUGUGGCAUACUUGUUUGCAAAUAAAUGGGUUAAACCAUGCUGAGUUAGUAUUGUGGGUAGCUAUACACAUAAAAUAAAAUAAAAUACCUCGCCAAUAAUUAUCCCCAAACUUGGAGCAAUUUUCUAAAUGCACAUCAGCUAUACACUUUCCGCGUUUUGAGAAAUACCUGGCAAUAAUAAAUAACAAGUGACCAACAAUCUCAAAAUGUCAAAAACAAUACUUUAUUUAAAGCAUCCUAGCCUCUUAUCAAUCAUCAAUGGAGACCUAAGACAGAUUCAAGAUUUGUUUAGAUAGAAAUAGUUGAUACUAAAAGCAUUAGAAACCAAACUUACCACGUUGUGCGGUUGUUGUGCCCAUGAGCUGGUAUUGCCCUCUUUGGAUGCCCACCAUUCAAGGGUUUAUCACCCAAAGGUACGUACACCUCCCCAGUGGUACUAUUUGGCCUUUUAUCUGCCACCAAUUUCAUGGUUCCCAAAGCUGAACGAGAGUACAAGGCUAAAUAAAUAACAUAUUUGGCUCCUCGACUACAACUAUAUACCAAGCACCAAAAUAUGCUCCAACACAGGCAAGGAAUGUCAGAACAACAAAUUCUCCAUAUAACCUAUACUUACCCUAUCAUAAACAUUGAUAACAUCACAGUUGAAGCCUUUCAAAGCAGGGGAAAUUCAUAAAAAGAUUGACAGAAAAUAUGCCUAUCUACCCGACCGGAAAGCUGAAAAGCAACAUUAAAAAAUAGCUGCAAUGAAACUAGUUCCAAACUUCUACGUAUAUAUAUCGUUUGAUUCAUUUAACUCGUACCACAAAGUCAAAAGCAAAAGAGUCGAGAUAUAGUGAGUCACUUAGUCACUGCUAUUUUUGGCUAGAAAAUAAAGUAUUUUGUACCUCUAAGUAAAAGCGAAAUAAAUAAAGUCACAUAGUCAAUCACUUACACAGUGAGUUUGUUUUUGUCGCUCAAUCCACAUGACCAAAGAAGCAAUUCCUCAUCCAAGUGAAUUGAUGCAGCCUUUGAAUUGGUUCAUGAUCUGAGAAAUUCGAAAAACUAAGGACAUCUUUGAGAUUGGACAGAACAAUAUUUUGGGAACUCUGCUGUCUUACAUGUGUUAAAUUGAGCUCUCUAAUGCCAUGUUGUAACGUGUCCUGUAUCCCUGCAUUAAUCCUGGAAGGAUCAAACUAUCACGUAAAAGACUUGUUCUUCUGAAAAACCAUUGGUUAAUAGUAAUACGAAAUGUCAAAUAUUUUGAACUAAAAUCCCAUUCUCAUAUACCGAAAUAGCUUAGAAAUUAGAAGAUGCAAAUGAAAACAGAACAUCUAAUUUGCUGAAUAAAUGUUGCAGAGAAUUGACUAACCGCUUUACUAAAUAAAUAAGCUGAAGCAGAUGAGUUGAAUUUGAAGCCGAUUGCAUACAUCGCCCCUUGAUGAUAACCAUAUUAGAGAUGGACAGCUUCUUAUUACUAAGUGCUUAAGAAAACAAGUGUUGCUACUCAUACUCUUAUUAUUAUUUUCUUUUUCAUCAACCAAAUAUUGCAAAUUCACGCAAUUCUCAAUACUCAGCUCUUUUAAAGCAGGAGGAAAAGUUACUCUCUGCAAAACAAACCAAGCCUGGACACUUUUCAAGUUCUAUUGUCGUAAUGAAUGGGAAAAUGGGAAAGCAUGUAAGACGUUCGGUAGUCUAUUGAGCCUUUCACAAGCCCUUAUCUCCAGAGAUUCAACACCUGGAAUCUUGUCAAGUUGCAAUAUCUCCUCCUCCGUUUCCAAAGAGACCAAUUGCAGACAAUUCCUAAUCGCGAUGAAAGAUGCCCAACUAUGCUUAACCCAUUUUGCGAUGAAGAUCCCAACUCCUUCCAACCAUAGAUGUUCAAUGUUUCAGAGUUUGCAAAUCUCAACAUUAUCCUCUCUGCUGAAAUAUUAAACUUUGAAAUAUUUGAAAGAUACACGUAUUUCAAAGAGGUAACCUUCUGUACAGACAAAGAACCUUCAUCCACCAAUUCUUCACACCCUUUAUCGCUUAAUUCACACAGCAAGGGAAAACUUGAAAUUGAAACUAGCAGUCUCUUACACUCAUAGAUUUCAAGUCUCUGCAAGGAUUGAAGGAUGGUUGGCAACCUUCCCAACAAUAGAGGACAUUCUCUGAUUGAAAGAAAACGAAGGCUGGGGAAUUUCGAUACUUGCCCAUCAUCUUCAGAUAGGUCCCACUCCUCCCAAUUCAGCAUAUUGCCAAAACGCAGAAACUCUAAUGAUGCAAAAGCAUUUGAUUGAUUUUCUCCAAACAACUCAGCACCAAUCUUGUGUACUUGACCCAAACCGCUAAUUGAAAGAUCUUUUAACAACAACAACCUUCCAAUCGAUGGUAGAGAUUUGCAAUUUUUACAGUUGUGAAGCUCCAAUGACAACAUAUUCUUGAAGGAAGAAUCUGCAAUCCAAGUAGAGAAUUUUGCACCACCAUAAUUCUGAAUGACGAGUUGUUCAAGCUUUUUCGAAGGAUGAAGCGAGUCUAACACCCAUUCUUCAACUUUUUUUUUCCUUGUAUCUUUAGAUAAUGCAAGUUGACAAGAUUUCCCAUCUUUGAAGGUAGCCUUUGAAGCCUGGAACAAUUUUUUUAUAAUAAAGUUUCCAAAUGGUAGAGAGUGCACAAAAAAUCGGGAAGGCAUAUGAUAGGGGUGUGAGAAAAAUUUAAGUAGCGAAGAUGUUUUAAAUUUUCAAAAACAUCAGGCAACUCAGUGAUCCAACUCAAAUCUACCACCCUUAAGUAGCCAAGUCUUGACAACAGAUCAACCAAAACAACAUUAGUUAAAAAAGGCACCCAGAAUGACAUCUUUAAAUUUCCAAAAUUUCAUCCCAUUUUAAUUCUUUUUAAAAUGUAUAUUAUUUUUAAUUGAAUAUUUUAUUUUAUUUUGUUGGUGAAUUUUUUAUUAAAAUUUAAAUAUAUCUUUUAAUGUUACAUUAUAAUAUUAUAUAUUUAAUUUAAUUUAAUUUUAUAUAAAUUACAUUCUAUACAUAUAUGAUAGAGUAGAAAAUGAUUUGGGCUUAGCCAUUUUAAUUUUGGAGCCCAAGCAUGGCUCAUUUUAAACAAGCUUAAUUUUUUUUUGUCUAAACUUAUAUUUCAAGCCUCGUUCUUUUUAUCUAAACCCUUUCAUAUUUUAAGCUCAUUUAGAAUGAGUCUAUCUACAAAAGAAAAGCUUGUGAAAAGCGCAUAAUUAGUAAUUAGAAAUUGUCACACAUGUAAAAAUAUAAUAUAUUAUAUAUAAAUUUAAAUUUUAAAAAUAAUAUUUUAUAUAUAAAUUUUAUAUUUUUGAGAAAUAAUAAUAUUUUAAAAAAGAUGGAUAGAAUUUUUUUCUAAUAAUUAGAAAUUAGUGAAUAAUAAUGAGUAGUUUAGUUUUUGAGAAAAAAAAAAGAAAUAGUUUUAAUUGAGAAAAUGAAUUUAUAAGAAAUGUUGAAAUGAUGUAAUCAUCUCUAUAUUUAACAAAAUAAUAACAUUAGAUUUUUCAUGCUUUUACCAAUUGACUUUGUGUCACUCGAUUUGAUGUAUCAAAUUUAAUUAGACAUUUUAUCAUAGCAUAAAUAAUUAUCUUGUAAUUAUAUGUAUUUAAAUUAACUUAGUUUUUAAAUCCGUCACCAAUCUUUAUAUUUUUUCUCUCUUGUAAUUAUAUUUUUACAUAAUUUUUUUAUAAUAUAUGAUAUGAUCAUAAAUUAAACCCUUAAUUAUAGUUAUUAAGCUUGCAUUUUUUCCGUUAAAGUCAAGAAAUUAAUUUUUUAUUGGGAAACAUUUUUAUAUUAGUUAAUUAUGAGAAAUCAUUUUUAUGUGAAAGUGUGUUAAACUAAUUAUAUUAUAGAAAAGUAUAUUUAAUGAUAGGCUCAAUUUACAUGUUUAUUGUGCUUAAAUUUGAUAAAUUCUUUAAUGAGAUAUCACUAAUUUUGGGUUUAUUAUUUGAUUUUUGAUUAGGUGCAAAAGCAAACUUAGAAAGUAAAAAAGUCAGAAAUGCAAGUUGUCGUAAAAGUUUUGGGACAUGAUCUGUCCUUUUUUUGGUACAAUAACAUGACAAAACCCGAAUAACAAACACGACUAACGUGCCUCAAACCCAAAUCAUAUCUGGGAUAGUGAACAACCUUAAUCACAAAGCCAUUAUAUAGGGUUCGGAAAAGAAAGAGAGUAGUUUUAAUUUUUGGUUAGGAUAAUAUUUUAAUUUUCUAGUAUUUUAUCUUUUGAUAUAUUUUUAGAUAACACUUUAAUGUUGGAUUAGAUUAAAGAAUUUAAGUAGGAUUAGGCAUUUUGAGAUUUAUAUAUAGUCUAAAAGGGACAGCAAUUCAAUUGCUUUCUUUUCUUCUCCCUUUCUAAUUCUGUUCUUUCUCUUGCACAAUAUUGUGCCGCCACGCCACCCUCCCCCCCUUUUUUUUCCCUUUCUUUUAUUUGUUUAUUUCUUUUAUUUAAUUUUUGUUGAACCCUCUACACUAGUAUGCUUAAUUUCAUGAGUAAUUAAAAUUCCCAUCUAGCUUUAAGUCAAGACUCAAUUUGGGAGAGAGUCGUAAGAUUCGAAAUCAUACUUUAAAACCUUCAUUUCAGUAUUUGUUAUUUUUCUGGUUUAGGAGAUAGAUACUAUCGUCUCAUAAGGUUGUUUUGGCACCAAAUGAGUUCAUUCCUUUGGUUUUAAUAAAGAAUCAAUACUAUCGAUUGCCGUAUUCGAUCUACCAAAAAAACACAUUGACGUGUCCAAUUAAGUGGUUGAUUUAAACAAUACUUAAACAAAUAACUACACGAUGGUGAGGACGAGUAAAAACUUUUAAUAUCAUCCAUAUAUUUUAUAGGUGGUGUAUUGCUAUGUAGUAUACACUUAAUGGGUUGGCCUAUAUGAGUGUGUAGAGAGGCCGCUUCUAUGAGAUCUUUGGCAAUCUUUAGAGCACUCAUAAAAACUAGGCACGUGCAUGACCUAUUAGCACACAAUCGCAUUGAAGAAUGAAUCAUAAAUAUAAUGUGAUAAGUGAAAAAGUUAAUUUGGAAAUUAAAUAAUUAGUUCAAAAACUUAUUUCAUCAAUUAUUAAAGUAAAUCAUGUCUCAUUUGUUAAAAAUUCUGGUUCACAGUACAAAUGACAAUAUGAUUAUUGCAAUAUAUUGAAACACUCACUUAUAAAUUAAAUCUUUGAAAUAUGUGGGAAAUUAUUGGAAGUUUUCAUUUAUUUCAAAGAACUACAAAAAUCUCACAUUGCUAAAAAAAGAUCUUGAGUCAUUAUUUAUUAAGUCAUUAUACUUCUUUGAACUUAAUAAGAAUCAAAUUGAGAGAGUAGACUCGUGCACAUUCGAGCCUUUUUGUUUUUGGACUUAUUUUUUAUUGAAGUUUUGAGAGUUAAAGAAAAGUUAACUUGUAACACCUAUAUUUAAUCAUGCUAAAUAUAAUUUAAUCGAUUGAAGCUAUUUUUAAUUAAGUCCAAAUUCAUUGAACUAUUUUCAAACUAGUUUUAGCUAAUUGAAUCAACUUACCUUUGCUAUAUUAAGCCAAUGAAAUCCCUAUAAAUACCAUGCAUGGCAGUUUUCAAAGUUACUCAUUAGCUUUCAUCUUCUCAUCUAAAUUUCUUCUAUAUUCUCUUUAGAAAACCUUCCUCCUACAAUCUCAAUUGAGUGUUUAAUUGGUCGGCUCUUUAGAAAAGCCUUCAAAGAUAAUGAUAUUCACGCUCAUGAUUCUAAUUUUCUAAACCUCCGAUUUCUUAAGAGAACAUCAAGAGCAACAACCAGUCAAAUUUUAAGCUCAAUUAAAUGAAUUCACAAACUUAUAGAGUUUAUUAUUAUUAUUUUAAUUAGUAUCAAAAGUUCUCAAUUCAAGCUUGAAUUAUAAGUCAAAUUUUAAUUUUGUUAUUCAAGCUUUAUCUCAAAUCAAGCUCAAGCUUUAAAAGUGAAAUUUGAUUGAACUUGAGUUAAAUUUUGAGUAUCGAAUUUUAAAUUAGCUCAAAAUUUUCAAGUUAAGCUUUUGACUUGAUUACAUGGUUAGUGUAAAUCUUACAAAUGUAAAGUAUAAUAUAAUUAUAUAAAUUUUGAUACUAUAAUAAUUUCAAUUUUAAAAUUUUAACACAACUAUGGUCUAGAAUGUCCCAUUAUCAAGAAGCUUAAAAAUUAGAAGAUGCAGAUGAAAACAGAGCAUUCAAUUUGCUGAAUAAAUGUUGCAGAGAAUUAAGUAACCGCUUUAUUAAAUCAAAUAAGCUAUAGCAAAUCAGUUGAAUUUAGCUUUCAGUGCCUGCAAAAUUAAAUACAAAAUAUAUACGACUGAUUGCUAUUAUCAUCUUGUUCCUGAGGACAGUCAGAUACAUGGAACUAAAACAGCCAAUGUUUAAAACGGUUUCAUACCUUGAUACAACAUAAGGUAUGUGGGAAAUCGUGGACCACUCUCGUCCUUUACCCCUAAAAGUGGACAUAAUUAAAAAGGAAAACUUGUCUGUGAUAGAAAAUGAGGGGCUUUAAUUAAAUUACAACCAACCAGGAUGAACUCUGUUUCUGGAUUGAACUAUUGGAAUUGGUAAUCAGUGACUUAUUCACUAAGAACUAACUAUUCUGUCACCUUAUAUUCUUCCUAUAAUUUCAGGUUUAAUCCUGUUGAAUUAUACAUUCAGUCCACUGCAAUAUGAACCCGUGAAAACCACACUAAAUGAAACUGAUUGUUUAAGGAUCCCAUUCAUAUGAUGCAGCACUGCAAUGGGUGAUUAAACUGACUGUUUAAUCCUGUUUCUGUACACUACGCUUCUUCAAAAUCAUGCCUAGCCGAACUCUCUGACAUUGUGGACCGCAAGCGCACUCAAGGACAUAUUGUUCUUCCCAUCUUUUACCAUGUUGAUCCCUCUGAGGUUCAGCAUCUUAGUGGGAGUAUCAAGACAUACUUUGAUGACCAUGAAUCAAAGAGGCCUGUUGAUGAAGUGAAGCGAUGGAAAACUGCCUUUGUUGAAGUCUGUAAAUUAAUUGGGUGGCAUAUAGGUGGAAAAUUCGACAAGCAUCUAUAUAGUUUCUUUUCAUUUUCUUAUAUAUUUAACUUUCUUUUUUUUUUUUUGGUUUAUUUGCUAAGCUUGAAUUCGAGUACAUUAAAGAUAUUGUUGAAUAUGUUAUAAAAAGAAGAUGACAAAUAGCGAGUCUAAAAGUGCUUCUUAAGAAUUUGUUGGAAUAGAUGAUCAAUGAAGGAUGAUUUUGAGGCCAACUAAGGAAGAAGACAACUUUCCACAUUUUGGAAAAGACCUAGCCAUAAUAAAUAACAUAUGAGCAACAUUUUCUCAAUCUCAAAAUGUAAAAAGCAAUACUGUAAUAUCCUUUGAAGUUUGUUCGAAGAACAUUAGAAUGCUAAUCAUUAGAGUUUCAACUUAAGAUUGAGCACAAAAAAUAUUGAAAAGUUUCAGGUACUAGGUGUAUUUUGAAAGAGUUGCUCCUAUGGCAUUUUCUCACCAUUCUUUUUCUUCCAUGGAUCCAAAUGCCUGUAAAAGAAAAACAAGGAAUAAAAAAGCAUAUCUACAACUCCAACAGAAGAGGGGAAUACCGGAAGAACAACCUCUACUUACCCUAUCAUAAACACUGAUAACAUCACUGUUGAAGCCUUCCAAAGCAGGGAAUCUUCAUGUAAAGAAUGAUUGAAAACCCGCUGUGACACAUUUAGCUUUGAAGCUUCAGAUAGCUAGCCUGUCAAAAUGAUCAAAUAACAUAUCACAACUACCAUACAUGUGGUCUGAGCAUGAGAAAAUGAGGGAUGCUCUGAAAAUUUGGUGAUGAUCCAUCCCAUCCAUAAUCACAACGAUUGCGCUCAACCGAUGCAUCAAGAAGAGAAGUGCACACAUAAAAGUACAAAUACCGAGGAAAGCCAACUAAACAUCCUUCAAUAGUACAAUGAAAUGUCAAAUGUUUUUAACUAAAUCCCAUUCCCAUAUACAUAAGGCAUAACAAUUGCAGUUGAGCGAUUGCUCCAAGCCCAUGCCAUAUAGUACAAAGCAAAGGAUCCUUAAGGACGAGGACGAUAUAAGAGUUAAUCAAACAUAUACGCAAAAAAAAGCUUAGAAAUCAAAAGCUGCCGAUGAAAACAGAACAUUCAAAUUGCUUAAUAAAUGUUGCCGAUGAAAAAUAUAUGAAUAUACGCAUAAAUUUAGUAUUGCCAUUAAAUAUCAUGAGCACUGCACAAAUUUAAAGAAAAAAAAUUCUCUACAUUUCCAUUUUAUUUGACAUAUCUAGAUUUGUAAUUUGAAACUUUGUUCUUAUUCACUUGAAUUAAAAUUUGAUCUAAUCUGAUUUUAUCAUUAAAAAGAGCCAACAGCCUAAAUCUUAAUUGAGACGAAUAAAAGCCUAAUCAUGUGGUUUUGUGAGAAACUAACACUAGGGUAAUCUAAAAUUAAACGCCUGAUGAUCUCUCGACUCUUUUAGCUUCUUGCUAGGGAAUUAGAUUACUCUCACACACUAACACACACAUUUCCCCUAAGGUAGCUACGCUAGUUUUCUUGACUUCCCCUCUUAAUCACAGCUCUCAUUUCUAGUGAUUUUAUCCCUACAGAUUGAUCGACCAAUCAUGCUAAAUCGCUAAAUAAAAUAUCAUGCUGGCUGUGUGAAAAGAAAAUAUAACAAGAGAACACAAUGUGGUUCGGGAAUAUUAUUCCUUAGAACAACAGGCAGAACCAAGAAUGAAAAUUACAUCAUAAAAUAAAAUACCUCACCAUAAUAACCAUUCACAAACUUUGAGCAAGGUUCUAAAAGGUCAUCGACGGUAGACUUUGCAACUCUGGUACCAUUUGGCUUUUAACCCCCCAUCAAAUUUUGUGGUUCUCAAAGCUGAGUGAAUGUAGAAGGCUAAAUAAAUAACAUAUUUGGCUCCUUCACUUCUUUUUAUGAAGGUUUCCUUGAAGUGCCCUAUAAGAGUAUGAUAAUGCUAAUCAUUAGAGUCUCGGUUUAUAGAUUAAACAAAAAAUGAAAAGUUUCAAGUAGCAUUGGUAUUAUGAAAGGGUUAAUUCAAGGCCAUUUUCUCACCAAUUUUUCUACCUUGAUUCCACACAAUCCACAUGAUCAAAAAUGUAAAUUCUCAUCAAGUGAAUUGAUGCAGCUCAAAAGUAGCCUUCUAAUGAUUUCGUUGUGUUAAUGCCUAAAUUGAGCUCUCUAAUGCCAUGCCGUGGUGUGUAGUGUAUCCUUCCUGUAAGGAUCAAUACCAUGUUCAUAGUGGUUAUGAAAUCUGUUGACACUGAUAUCCUUAUAUCAAUACCAUGUUCAUAGUGGUUAUGAAAUCUGUUGACACUGAUAUCCUUACUCAAUAACCACGAAGAUCUAUAAACUAUUACGUAAAUACUUGUUCUUCUAGAACACCUUUGGGUAAUAUUUGACAUAGAUAUGUAAAACAGUUUAUAAAAUUUUGCAUGUAUUUAAAAGAUCAUAUCUUUUAUACUCGUCAAGGUGAAACUAAGAAACAUGAUUUAAAUAGUUCACUCGCACUCACUUUUAAAGGUGGAUUCUUGAGGUUUUAGCUAAAGUUAAAAAAAGCUUGAGUUCAAUUUAACAACUAGGACUCGAAGCUUGACUCAAGUUAGAUCAAGUUUCAGUUUCAAUGUAGAGCUCGAUUUUGAUAUAAAAAUUUACUUAAGUUCGUUAUAUUAGAUUCGUUUACCAAAUAAAAUGAAAAAAAAGGGUCAAAUUCUAUUAUUAAUUCUUACACUAUGUAUAAGUCAUGGAUUUAGUUUAUGUAUUUUAAUUUGGUUAUUUUUAGUCACUAUACUUUUUAAAAUUUAAAAUUUCAAUCUUCAUCAAACAGUAACUAUUAAAUUUAUUAAGUUAAACUAUACUAUUUUAAAAAAUAUGAUAUAAAAAAUUAUAUUAUCAUAUUAACUUGUUAUUUUCAUAUAAUACUCAUAAAAAGGUCACAUUAUUUUAGUUAAUGAAUUUAACUACUAUCGUUUGAGUCAAUAUUGAAAUAUCAAAUUUGAAAAGCAUAAAGACUAAAAACGAUCAAAUUGACGACCAAAUUAAAGUACAUGAACUAAACUUACAACUUAUGCGUAAUAUAAGGACUAAUAGUGAAAUUUGACCAAAAGAAAACAUGAAAUGAAACAUGCAUACAUACGUACCCUAAGUGCAAGGAAGUGUCUGAGAGAUGGUUGUCAUCAUCUGAUGCACUAUUAUUAUCAUCAGCCUUUGAAUUAUUUGGUGAAUGUUCAAGUCUUCUUUCCAGCAAUGGAUUCAAUUCUAGUAUAUUCGAGCUCCUUUUUUGUCUCAAUUCCUCAACCUUAAAACCACAUUCAAUAAUCAACAAAAUACAAUAUUACACACUCCAAAAUCUUAAUAUUAUAUAUAAGCUAAACUACACUACUAAUCACCCAAUUAUCGGUAAGUUUAUUUUUUGAUUACCCAAUUAUAAAAAGUUACAAAAUUGUCAUGAUUUUGUCCUUUUUGUCAUCCGUUAUUAAAUGGCUAAUGGCUAAUGGAAAGAUUACGUGGCAGGUUUUAAAAUUGGCAUUAUAGCGAUUUUAACCCUCAACAUUUAUACAUUGUGUCGAUUUAGUCUUGACUCUAAAAAGUUUAUCUCUCAACAUUUACAUGUAGUGUAAUUUAGUGUUUUUUACAAUUUUUUUGUGUGACCUUUUAACAGCUUAAAAAGCUAAAAAAAUAAAUUUAUCCAGCUCAAUUUUAUCAAAAAUAUAUUAAAUUAACACUCAAUGUCACAAAAAAAAGCAAAACUGCAAAAAAGACUAAAUUAUAGAAUGUGUAAAUGUUGAGAGUUAAAUUUUUUAGAAUGAAGACUAAAUUGACACAGUAGAAAUGUUGAGAGUUAAAAUUGCUAUUAUACUAAUUUUAAAAGCCAUUAAAUUAUCUUUCUGUUAGUGAUUUAACUGUUGGUGACAAAUAGUUUACUCUUAUAUAUAUAUAUAUGUAAAUACAUGUGUGCAUGUGUGUAGCAGUUGAUUAUACGUUUGACCUACGUACCUGUUUGCGUAGAUCUUCAUUCUCCAUUAUAGUCUUCUGUUCCUGAAAAUAUACAAAUAUUAAACCAGAAAUCAUUAGCAUUAAAUGUUAAUUACAAUUAUUUCAAAAGUAAAAUGUACCUGUAAUCUAGAUCUUUUAAGCUGCUCCAUUAGAAUUUACUCCUACAACAAUAAAACUUCAGUUUCUAGAGCUCACAAUUAGGCUCCUAAUGAAAUUAUUUUAAGUUUGUGUUUGUAGGAGAGUUACUAAAUAUACUUAAAUUAUGUUUGUUUGGAGUUAAUAUUGAUUAAAAUUAGAGAUAAUUUAUGGACGAAAAUAUUAAUUUAUUUCAAAUGAUGAAGCAUAGCAACUUUAAUAAUGUUGAGGGAUUGGAUCGGCGCAUCCGAGAAUGAUACUUUGAAGAUUUCUCUCGGAAGAACUGAUCUGUAGUCAAGUGGUACCAUAUACCUCAACAAUUGACCUAUAUUCAAUAAGUUAGGGGUUCGAAUCUCACCAAGGGCAAGACGUUCAAGUCGCCUAUUGGUGGGUGGUUGUACAUCCAUGUACGGUUAAAAACUAAUAUAUAUAAGUUUUAUAGACCGUUACAAACUAAUAUACACUCAUAUAAGUCGAUAUUAACUAAAACAGAUCAAAACACAAUGAAAUUUUAACUGAAACGAAACUUAAACUACUUUAUAUUAAUUCAAUAUUGAGAGGAUAGCCAAUUAUUAAGAAAAGAAAAAUAAUGGAAAUUAAUCAAAUUAUAGGUCAACUUACUUUCAUGCUUACAAAAAAAAAUUGCUAAAAUUAAAAAUUGAAAAAACCCAGAUUUCGAUUAUUAAAAAUCAUCUAUAAUAUAUAUAAGUAUUAUACUAUAUGAUAUACCUAGUGCUGGACCAUUGAUAGACCUUGCCGGUGCUUGAAAAAAUAAUAACCCCAACCUCUGCAUCACAUAAAAUGGACAAUUCUUUAGCUUUCUUCAACAACCCAUUUCGCCUCUUUGAAAACGUUACUUGCCUGCUAUUCAAAUUUUCUAUCUUUUUUAUUUCAAUUUUCCCUCUACCCAUCUCAAAAUUUUCUUCAUUCCUUUACUUUUCCCGGAAAUUUUUAAAAGAAAAGAUAAACCCCAGAUAUUUUUUUUCUUAAAUUUUGAAAAAAACCAAAGGUUUUUAUAACAACAAACAGAUCAAAGAAAAUAAGGCAAAAAAUUUAGGGGAUUGUAAAAGGAUUCUUUUUUUAAGAGAAAAGAAAAUAAGUAAGUAAUGUUUAUAUAUAACAAUUGUUUUCUUAAAUGGAAAUGGAAAUGGAAAUGGAAAAUGAUAUGGAAAAAGAAGAUAUGUGACCAAAAUUAGGGUGAAAUCUUGAAAGGUGACAGAUUUGAUACUAUAUCUAGCAUUUAUCCAACUAUGGAAACUCUAUUUAUUAUAGCUUUAGUUUCUUUUUUCUUUUUUCUUUCUAUUUUUCUUAAUUUCUCUACCUUUUUACUCUGCUGUUUUUGGCACUUCAACUCAAAAUGGAUUUUAUUUUUGCUUUGGGUUUCUUUUUUCAAAUAUAAAAAGUGGUUUUUAAUUAUUUAUAGAUUAUUAAUGUGUUUUAACAAUUUUUGUUAGUGAAUAUUGAUUUUUUUUUUGUGAAUUACAAUAGGAGGGCAAAGCCCUAAUAACAACACGACUAGAGCGAUUCGAAUUUAGGCCACACCUGAGACGUUGAACACAAGUAUUUCACGAGGACAUAUAACACAUGUUUUUUAAAUUCAUGGCUAAAAUAAUAAUAAAAACCUCUUUAUUUUAUUGUAUUCAAAUAAUAAAAAAAACCAUGGUUUUAGUCGUAUCGGCCGGUGCCGCCGUUCUACUAUUAUAGCGCAACAAGCAUCACCCUUUUCCAUCCUAAUGAAAAUUUUGGUUUGUACCAUUCACAUUGACCAGAACACGGUACACCUGCUGCAUAAAUAAUGUUAAAAAAUAUAAAACUUUUAACUAUUUUCUAUUAGACUAAAUAUUUAAUUGAAAUGUAUUGACCAAUAAAAAAUAUUACACUAGAAAGUAAAGUUUAACCUUUAAAACUUUUUUAGAGCAUACUUUUUCUUUUAAAAUAUAAAAAUUAAAAUUAAUAAAAAAAAAACUCACUCACCUCGUUAUCAUAGAAAAAUAUUCACUCGUCCUUCAGCUUUUUUUAUUGAAAAAACCCCCUCAUCCUUCGAUUUCUUUUUUUUCUUCUUAAUUUUGAAUUUAUUGAAUGAUGAGUUUUUACUUGUGGAGUUUAUUAAUCAAUAUUUUAUAUAAUUGAUGAAUAGUUUUAUAUUAAAAAUUUAUUUAUAAUAAUUUAUUUGAUAUUUGUAUAUUUAUUUAUAUAAAUAUAUUAAAUAUUUUUAAAAAUAUCGAUAAAUUCAAAAUGGUACAUAAAAUAGACUAGUACCAAUCCAUACCGAUUCUCAUAGAAAAGAGGUUUUCUGCUUAAAAUAUUUGAAACACACAAACUUUUAAAGGAGGUAACCUUCUGUACCGACAAAGAACCUUCAUCCACCAAUUCUUCACACCCUUCAACCCAUAUUUUACGCAGCAAGGGAAAACAAGAAAUUGAAACUACCAGUCUCUUACAGUUGUAGAUUUCAAGCGUCCGCAAGGAUUGAAGGAUGGUUGGCAACCUUCCCAGCAAUAGAGGACAUUUUCUGAUUGAAAGAAAACGAAGGCUGGGGAAUUUCGAUACUUGCUCAUCAUCUUCACAUAGGUCCCACUCCUCCCAAUUCAGCAUAUUGCCAAAACGCAGAGACUCUAAUGAUGCAAAAGUAUUUGAUUGAUUUUCUCCAAACAUCUCAGCACCAAUCUUGUGUACUUGAUCCAAACCACUAAUUGAAAGAUCUUUUAACAACAACAACCUUCCAAUCGAUGGUAGAGAUUUGCAAUUUUUACAGUCGUGAAGCUCCAAUGACAACAUAUUUUUGAAGGAAGGAUCUGCAAUCCAAGUAGAGAAUUUUGCACCACCAUAAUUCUCAAUGACGAGUUGCUCAAGCUUUUUUGGAGGACAAAGAGAGUCCAACACCCAUUCUUCAACUUCUUUAUUCCUUGAAGCAUUUUCAAACUUUUUCCUCCAAUGCAAUACCAGUCGAUCAAUCCCCUGCUUCUCAUAUAACUUGCUUUCCCCUGCAUCUUCACCAUUAACAUUCUCCAACCCAGAAAGACGGAAAUCACCUUCGAGGUUUGACAAAUAUUUCAAACCUCUAAUAUAACUACCAUCACCUUCCCCUAUUAUAAAAUCAGUUAAACUUUGAAGAUUCGUUAGCUUAUCAAUUCUAAAAGGAAUCCUUUCUAUUGAGUUCGCACCUCUGAUAUCAAGAUAAUGCAAGUUGACAAGAUUUCCCAUCUUUGAAGGUAACCUUUGAAGCUUGUAACACCACCUUAAUAAUAAGGUUUCUAAAUGGUAAAGAGUGCACAAAGAAUCUGGUAGGCAUUUGAUUUUUGUGCUCGAAAAAUUUAAGUAGCGAAGAUGUUUUAAAUUUUCAAAAACAUCAGGCAACUCAGUGAUUAUAUACCCACUCAAAGAAAGCAUCCUUAGGUAGCCAAGUCUUGGUAACAAAUCAUCCAAAACAACAUUAGUUAAAAAAGGGGCCCGAUAUCACACAUUAUGGGUAAAAAAGUACGUAGAGAAUUCACUUGAUCAAAUGCUUCAAACUUCUUCACUGUGUCAUAUGUUCCAACAAUAUAAGAAGAAUGUCGAGUGCGAUUUGAGAACUUCCAUUUCUUAUCACCCUCUAAUUUUGAGCAUAUUUCCCCUGCAACUACUUGAGCUAAAUCAUUGAUAAGGUCAUGCAUUACGAAUCGGGACUUAUCUUUACUGGAUGUUUGAAAGAAUCGGGACUUAUCUUUACUGGAUGUCUGAAAAAAUGACCUGGACACUAGAUCUUGAAAAUAUUGAUUUCCGAGAUCUUUAAUUUGAGGCAUAGCUUUUUGUUGCAAGAGACCUUCUGCUCUCCAUAACAAGAUAAUUUCUUCUUCCUCAAAUUCAUAGUCUUUAGGAAGUAUGGAGCAAUUGGCAAACCAUCGUUUCAAGUCUGACGAAAGAUGAUGGUAGCUUAAUCGCAAAGCUGGAAUUAUGGCACACUGCUCUUCUGGUAAGUUCCAUAUCUCACUCUCAUAUAUUCUUUCCCAUCCUGCAUAGUCUUUAACUGUGCGUAGCAAGCUUCCAAUGGCUUUUGCAGCCAAAGGUAAGCCAUUGCACCUUCUAACAAUUUUCUCUCCAAUUUCUUUAAACUGGAGAUGUCCAUCGAAAUUUCUUGCUUUUAAUGCAUGCUGUGUAAAUAUGGAUAAACAAUCAUCAUCCGAUAGUUUAUCCAAAUGAAAAGCUUUGAGC
Molecule: long non-coding RNA, 21325 nt
Filed under: Gossypium raimondii (Peruvian cotton)
Lineage: Eukaryota; Viridiplantae; Streptophyta; Magnoliopsida; Malvales; Malvaceae
Description: long non-coding RNA (GRAI_LNC005996)
Source: RNAcentral